RNAcentral lists this transfer RNA (75 nucleotides) under Nitrososphaerota archaeon. RNAcentral describes it as "Thaumarchaeota archaeon tRNA-Glu". It matches the Rfam family "tRNA". From Rfam's summary of the family: Transfer RNA (tRNA) molecules are approximately 80 nucleotides in length. Their secondary structure includes four short double-helical elements and three loops (D, anti-codon, and T loops). Further hydrogen bonds mediate the characteristic L-shaped molecular structure. tRNAs have two regions of fundamental functional importance: the anti-codon, which is responsible for specific mRNA codon recognition, and the 3' end, to which the tRNAs corresponding amino acid is attached (by aminoacyl-tRNA synthetases). tRNAs cope with the degeneracy of the genetic code in two manners: having more than one tRNA (with a specific anti-codon) for a particular amino acid; and 'wobble' base-pairing, i.e. permitting non-standard base-pairing at the 3rd anti-codon position. Lineage: Archaea; Thermoproteati; Nitrososphaerota. The record is from RNAcentral.
GCCCCGGUGGUGUAGACCGGUCAAGCAUACGACCCUCUCGAGGUCGUGACAUGGGUUCAAAUCCCGUCCGGGGCA